Molecule: ribosomal RNA, 369 nt
Filed under: uncultured bacterium
Lineage: Bacteria
Description: bacterial SSU rRNA
Rfam family: Bacterial small subunit ribosomal RNA
Source: RNAcentral
GUAGGGUGCGAGCGUUGUCCGGAAUUAUUGGGCGUAAAGGGCUCGUAGGCGGUCUGUUGCGUCGGGAGUGAAAGCCCCGGGCUUAACCUGGGAACAGCGUUUGAUACUGGAGAGCUUGAGUGUGGGAGAGGUUGGUGGAAUUCCCAGUGUAGAGGUGAAAUUCGUAGAUAUUGGGAAGAACACCGGUGGCGAAGGCGGCCAACUGGACCACAACUGACGCUGAGGCGCGAAAGCGUGGGGAGCAAACAGGAUUAGAUACCCUGGUAGUCCACGCCGUAAACGAUGUGUGCUUGACGUUGGCGGGUUUACCCGCCGGUGUCGCAGCUAACGCGAUAAGCACACCGCCUGGGGAGUACGGCCGCAAGGUUA